AGAAAAGAUCAGCUGAAUGAGCAACUAAAAGAAUCUCAUACACUUGCAGAUUGUGGCAAUCCAAAUUUAGUCUGUACAUCAAGAUAAACUCCAGAAAGUGAAAUAGAAGAAAUGACACAGGGUUAUUGCAGUUAGUAAAUAACUCGAACGUUUAAAGAGAAUCAUUACGCCAAACGCGUUGCAUCCCACAAACAGCACAAAAUAACUUCUAGGAUGUGCAAAUUGUCCUAAAUUUCACCUAGCUAUAUAGAAGUCAAAACUUUGCAUGUACGCCUUUGCGAUACCAUGCAGAAGUAUCAUACACGAAUUACCCUUCAUAAAUGCUGUCUAAUUCCACAAUAAUCAAGAAUCAGACCGGAAGAUGCAGCCAGACGAGAAUCCAACAUCAAGAAUUGAAUGACGAGCUGAAACUCCAUCGUUUUUGUUCACAGAAGUCAAUGUUUCAGCUGCAAAAACAACUAUGUACACUAGUGACUCUGAAUUAUAUGUUACAAAGCGUAAGCUUACAGCAACUACGCUCUUUUCGCAUCUUACACAGGAAGAUUGUCCAAUGGUGAAUAUCCAUCAAAGCCAAAUUCAGUUUCAACUUGUCCGACACUUUCUUGCUGCUUCAGAAGGGCACUCAUGAGAUCAUCCUGUCCAAAUUGCUCCGGGAAAAAUGUAUUUUGAUAGGUCGUAUCAGGAAGUUGUUCAGCUUUAACAGGAAGCAAAUUUCCGCCAGAAAAUAGGUUAAGUUGCGGUCCACCCAUAGGAGCAAUUCCAUUUGGUCCAUUCUUCUUCAUUGAAGAAAUACCUUGUUGAACUAACAUGGACGGUGAGACAUCUAGAGUUCCUGGUAUACUUGAAUGAUCAGAGGCACCGAAGUUUGAUCCGAUAUUCGGUAAACCCCAAUCCUGCGUUUUUUGCUGAUGCAACUCUUCAAAUAUAUCGUAACCAGGAGGGAAUCCUCUAGAUCCUUUAAUAUCAGAGUUAACUUCUUCCUGAAGCAAUCUUUUAGAUGUCAGAGUUGACAUCCCUGAAUUACUACUCACAAGAGGAAAACUGUUGUUUUGCAACUCAGUAGUUUGAUUCAGCGAGAAAUCUACUAUUGAAGAUGUUUGGGAGACUGGAU
RNAcentral lists this unclassified non-coding RNA (1111 nucleotides) under Hevea brasiliensis (rubber tree). The record is from RNAcentral. Lineage: Eukaryota; Viridiplantae; Streptophyta; Magnoliopsida; Malpighiales; Euphorbiaceae.